This 405-nucleotide ribosomal RNA is filed under the name uncultured bacterium. Its description in RNAcentral is "partial 16S ribosomal RNA". It matches the Rfam family "Bacterial small subunit ribosomal RNA", at positions 30 to 526 of the family's 1533-position model. The record is from RNAcentral.
AUUGAACGCUGGCGGCAGGCUUAACACAUGCAAGUCGAACGAGUGGCGGACGGGUGAGUAAUGUAUGGGAAUCUGGCCUAUGGCGGGGGAUAACUACGGGAAACUGUAGCUAAUACCGCGUACCAUAGGAUGAGCCCAAGUGGGAUUAGGUAGUUGGUGGGGUAAAGGCUCACCAAGCCGACGAUCCCUAGCUGGUCUGAGAGGAUGACCAGCCACACUGGGACUGAGACACGGCCCAGACUCCUACGGGAGGCAGCAGUGGGGAAUAUUGCACAAUGGGGGCAACCUGAUGCAGCCAUGCCGCGUGUAUGAAGAAGGCCUUCGGGUUGUAAAGUUCUUUCGGUAGCGAGGCGUUACCAGCAGAAUAAGCACCGGCUAACUUCGUGCCAGCAGCCGCGGUAAUAC